GGCUCCCCAACCAGAACAUUUGUGUCUCACACCUUCUCAGAAUAGUCCCUCUCGUCUUUUUUCAGGCUUUGCACUUCUUCUGGUACAGGGGAUCACAGAAGAGGAGAGGCUGGAGAGCUGUGAAAGGGUCUCCCACCAGGGCUGUAAGAGCUAAAAGGAAAGAGCUGCACUUUCCCCACCAGUGAACAUUGGGAUGGCUACCACCAUUGUAUUACCUGAUGUAUGGAGUUUCAUGCACUGGCAGUGAGGUUAAGACUGAGUUUCUCAGUGGAGAACAGGCUACCUAUGUCCAGAACAACUCAGCAGCUGGUGAAUAUAAAGCCAGGAGCUGUCAGAAAAUGCUGAGCAGAGGUGAUGUUGGACUGUCUCGCAAAUGGUAACUCCCACGUUUAAGGAGAAUGCUCUUAAUGAACUGCCUUUAAAAAGAAAAAACACAUACAGAGGAGAUGGAAAGUCUCCCUGGAGAGUCUCAGGAGAUGCCCAGAAGACAUCUCCAGGGUCACGUAAUUCUUUGAAUCCUACCCAACUUUUGCUGAAGUUAAUUGAAAAAACUCCCAUUGACUUGAAGAGGUUUUGGAUCUGGCUCAAAGUGCUCUCCGUGGCAGCAGAUUGCAAGAAGGAACCCCACUGUGCAAUUCCAGCCAUCUGCCUAUGGAUAAGGCUUGAUGAUACAAAUGUGUUUGCUUGGAACAUGCAGUAAGGCACUUCGCUUCCAAUUAGGCAGUGCUUCAGACCGAAGGAGAUCUCUGCCUCUCACCUGUGGCCUCUCUUAUCUAAGAUCUACUCUGACCUGGUGAUCUUUAAAGUAGCAAUAUAAGCUGAUGCACAGCAAUAUCACAAGUUGCUUAUCUCUGCUUUGCUUAUGUAAAAAGGUAACCUAGUGCUAGGUUAAGCUCACGUUGAGAUUCCUGCAACUCAGCUGGUUGGGUGUAGUGCUGUUUGCUUGAGACAGGACAAAAUGUCCCUGCUUACAUCUCAAACCUGAGCUUAGUGAUAUCAUUGUCAUUAUCAAUCUUUUACUGUAUCAACCGUGGGAUUAGAAAAGGGAACUGUUUCAGAAACAAAGCAAAGG
This 1072-nucleotide long non-coding RNA is filed under the name Dromaius novaehollandiae (emu). RNAcentral describes it as "lncRNA (ENSDNVG00000005200.1)". The record is from RNAcentral. Lineage: Eukaryota; Metazoa; Chordata; Aves; Casuariiformes; Dromaiidae.